UACGUAGGGUGCGAGCGUUGUCCGGAAUUACUGGGCGUAAAGAGCUCGUGGGUGGUUUGUCGCGUUGUUCGUGAAAUCCCACGGCUUAACUGUGGGCGUGCGGGCGAUACGGGCAGACUGGAGUACUGCAGGGGAGACUGGAAUUCCUGGUGUAGCGGUGGAAUGCGCAGAUAUCAGGAGGAACACCGGUGGCGAAGGCGGGUCUCUGGGCAGUAACUGACGCUGAGGAGCGAAAGCGUGGGGAGCGAACAGG
This 253-nucleotide ribosomal RNA is filed under the name uncultured bacterium. Its description in RNAcentral is "partial 16S ribosomal RNA". It matches the Rfam family "Bacterial small subunit ribosomal RNA", at positions 524 to 776 of the family's 1533-position model. The record is from RNAcentral.